This 76-nucleotide transfer RNA is filed under the name Nautilia lithotrophica. Its description in RNAcentral is "tRNA-Lys". It matches the Rfam family "tRNA". From Rfam's summary of the family: Transfer RNA (tRNA) molecules are approximately 80 nucleotides in length. Their secondary structure includes four short double-helical elements and three loops (D, anti-codon, and T loops). The record is from RNAcentral. RNAcentral also lists the same sequence under 6 other names. Lineage: Bacteria; Pseudomonadati; Campylobacterota; Epsilonproteobacteria; Nautiliales; Nautiliaceae.
GACCCGUUAGCUCAGUCGGUAGAGCAUCUGCCUUUUAAGCAGAGGGCCGCUGGUUCGAAUCCAGCACGGGUCACCA